AACGAACGCUGGCGGCAGGCUUAACACAUGCAAGUCGAACGGGUGUAGCAAUACAUCAGUGGCAGACGGGUGAGUAACACGUGGGAACCUUCCUAGGGGUACGGAACAACUCAGGGAAACUUGAGCUAAUACCGUAUACGUCCGUGAGGAGAAAGAUUUAUCGCCCUUAGACGGGCCCGCGGCGGAUUAGCUAGUUGGUGGGGUAACGGCCUACCAAGGCGACGAUCCGUAGCUGAUCUUAGAGGAUAAUCAGCCACACUGGGACUGAGACACGGCCGAGACUCCUACGGGAGGCAGGAGCGGGGAAUCUUGGACAAUGGGCGCAAGCCUGAUCCAUCCAUGCCGCGUGAGUGACGAAGGUCUUGGGAUUGUAAAGCUCUUUUGCCAGGGACGAUAAUGACGGUACCUGGAGAAUAAGCCCCGGCAAACUUCGUGCCAGCCGCCGCCGUAA
This 451-nucleotide ribosomal RNA is filed under the name uncultured bacterium. RNAcentral describes it as "partial 16S ribosomal RNA". It matches the Rfam family "Bacterial small subunit ribosomal RNA", at positions 29 to 523 of the family's 1533-position model. The record is from RNAcentral.